AUUACUCAUUACUGUAGUAGUACAGACGAGU
Molecule: non-coding RNA, 31 nt
Filed under: Rattus norvegicus (Norway rat)
Lineage: Eukaryota; Metazoa; Chordata; Mammalia; Rodentia; Muridae
Source: RNAcentral